Molecule: ribosomal RNA, 980 nt
Filed under: uncultured bacterium
Lineage: Bacteria
Description: bacterial SSU rRNA
Rfam family: Bacterial small subunit ribosomal RNA
Source: RNAcentral
GAUGAACGCUAGCGGCAGGCCUAAUACAUGCAAGUCGAGGGGCAGCAGGGUAGCAAUAUCGCUGGCGACCGGCGCACGGGUGCGUAACACGUAUAUAAUCUGCCUUUUACAGGGGGAUAGCCUUUCGAAAGAGAGAUUAAUACCCCAUAAUAGUUGACUGGGCAUCCAGUUGAUUUGAAAGUUCCGACGGUAAAAGAUGAGUAUGCGUCUGAUUAGCUAGUAGGUGAGGUAACGGCUCACCUAGGCAACGAUCAGUAGGGGAUCUGAGAGGAUUAACCCCCACACGGAUACUGAGACACGGAUCCGACUCCUACGGGAGGCAGCAGUAAGGAAUAUUGGACAAUGCCCGCAAGGGUGAUCCAGCCAUGCCGCGUGCAGGAAGAAGGCCCUAUGGGUCGUAAACUGCUUUUACACCGGAGAAAACCCCCCUACGUGUAGGGGGCUGAUAGUAUGGUGAGAAUAAGCAUCGGCUAACUUCGUGCCAGCAGCCGCGGUAAGACGAAGGAUGCAAGCGUUAUCCGGAUUCAUUGGGUUUAAAGGGAGCGUAGGUGGACUGAUAAGUCAGUGGUGAAAUCUCUUCGCUUAACGAAGAAAUUGCCAUUGAUACUGUUGGUCUUGAGUACAGUUGCUGUGGGCGGAAUAUGACAUGUAGUGGUGAAAUACAUAGAGAUGUCAUAGAACACCGAUUGCGAAGGCAGCUCACAAAGCUGUAACUGACACUGAGGCUCGAAAGUGCGGGGAUCAAACAGGAUUAGAUACCCUGGUAGUCCGCACCGUAAACGAUGAUUACUCGCUGCUAGAGGGCAACUUUUAGUGGCUUAGCGAAAGCGAUAAGUAAUCCACCUGGGGAGUACGCCGGCAACGGUGAAACUCAAAGGAAUUGACGGGGGCCCGCAUAAGCGGAGGAGCAUGUGGUUUAAUUCGAUGAUACGCGAGGAACCUUACCAGGGCUUGAAAGUAGGGAAUAACUCGAAAGGAGU